UACGAAGGGGGCUAGCGUUGCUCGGAAUCACUGGGCGUAAAGCGCACGUAGGCGGAUUCCUAAGUCGGUGGUGAAAUCCUGGAGCUCAACUCCAGAACUGCUUCCGAUACUGAGAGUCUCCGAGUCCGGGAGAGGUGAGUGGAACUGCGAGUGUAGAGGUGAAAUUCGUAGAUAUUCGCAAGAACACCAGUGGCGAAGGCGGCUCACUGGCCCGGUACUGACGCUGAGGUGCGAAAGCGUGGGGAGCAAACAGG
RNAcentral lists this ribosomal RNA (254 nucleotides) under uncultured bacterium. Its description in RNAcentral is "partial 16S ribosomal RNA". It matches the Rfam family "Bacterial small subunit ribosomal RNA", at positions 524 to 776 of the family's 1533-position model. The record is from RNAcentral.